GUGGGCUCGGCGGCUGCCUGGGCUUAGUGGCCCCUGUCAGAGAGGACAGUCUGGAGGGACAGUCUUCAGCAGCAGCAGCACCUGCCCCUCCUUGCAGGACCCUCCACAUGGUUACUUGGGUCGUGAGUCUCUGGGCUUGUCACGUUAUCCACAGGCUGGCUGUUAUGCCUCCUGCUAUACACACCAUGCUUCCCUCAAUUCAUCUUUCAAUCUGGAGGAUUUACAAGGAUUUAUACCAUUAAGAGCAAGAUCUCAACAACAUGCCGUAUGGAGAAAACGUGUUUUGCUUCUGCCCAUAUAGGUAUUAGUCUGUAAGCUCUUCUGGGCAGGGACCCAUUUUCUGUGUCAUGGCUCUCUGUGCAAAGCUUUAUUCCUUCUAAGGGCCAGCGUUUCAGAUGUUUGGGUCUAUUCCUCUAUCCAGGACUACCACUGAGGAACCACUGACCAGUGAGAUGAGGUCUUGCUCAGGACUGGUCUUGAACUCCUGGACUCAAGUGAUGCUCCCACUGCCGCCUCUCAAAGUGCUGGGAUUGCAGGUGUGAGUCAUCUGGCCUCAAGUGAUCUUCCUACCUCAGCUUCCUAAAGUGUUGGAUUACUGGUGUGAGCCAUCAUGCCUGGCCUCUUAUUUGCAUUUGAUUGACAAUCACAGUAUUCCUUUGCAGCAGGCAGGCUUCUCCCAGAAGGCCAGCAAGAGGAAUGGCAAGGGAGCAGGACCCUGCUUCACACCAGCUACAUUUCUGAUCAGCCCAAGACAACUCACAACCAGCAGACAACAUGGCAGCCACUAGCAAAACUUCAGGGUGAAAAGAAUGACCCAAAUUGGCUAAAUGGGAGCUAUGAGGACCUGAAAUAAAACAGAGUAUCAUU
This is a long non-coding RNA of Callithrix jacchus (white-tufted-ear marmoset), 867 nucleotides long. RefSeq lists it as uncharacterized. The record is from RefSeq and is a predicted model, not a curated record. Lineage: Eukaryota; Metazoa; Chordata; Mammalia; Primates; Cebidae.